This 69-nucleotide transfer RNA is filed under the name Marmota marmota marmota (Alpine marmot). It matches the Rfam family "tRNA". From Rfam's summary of the family: Transfer RNA (tRNA) molecules are approximately 80 nucleotides in length. Their secondary structure includes four short double-helical elements and three loops (D, anti-codon, and T loops). Lineage: Eukaryota; Metazoa; Chordata; Mammalia; Rodentia; Sciuridae. RNAcentral also lists the same sequence under 2 other names. The record is from Rfam by way of RNAcentral.
GGGGUUGUAGCUCAAUGGUAGAGCGCUUGCCUUGUGCACAUGAGGCAUUGGAUUUGAUCCUCAGCACCA